GCACCACAAGAACGCGUGGAGCAUGUGGCUUAAUUUGACUCAACGCGGGAAAUCUUACCAGGUCCGGACACACUGAGGAUUGACAGGAAGUAUCGUCUUUUGAAUUCUUUAAGGAUAUGUCGUUUUUAAUGACAUCUUUUAGAUGGAUGAUUCGUGUAAAUAUGCUAGUUCUUUCAUGAUUAUGUGAUAGGUGGUGCAUGGCCGUUCUUAGUUCGUGGAGUGAUCUGUCUGCUUAAUUGCGUUUCACUAAGGCCCCAAAGUUAGCAAAUUAUCAAUCGUUACAGAGUCGACCCCUCACCUUUGAGUGCGCGUCCUAACUUGUAGUACAUGGUGUAAAUGGAUUUGUUUUGGGUACCCAAAUAGCA
Molecule: ribosomal RNA, 365 nt
Filed under: Neogloboquadrina incompta
Lineage: Eukaryota; Foraminifera; Rotaliida; Globorotaliidae
Description: SSU rRNA
Rfam family: Eukaryotic small subunit ribosomal RNA
Source: RNAcentral